AAGCCCAGGCAAAAAAUCUUUUGCGUUUUGAGGUUUGCAAACUCUGUACAAGGCC
Molecule: transfer RNA, 55 nt
Filed under: Pristimantis ridens (pygmy robber frog)
Lineage: Eukaryota; Metazoa; Chordata; Amphibia; Anura; Strabomantidae
Description: tRNA-Cys
Source: RNAcentral